GAUGAACGCUGGCGGCGUGCCUAAUACAUGCAAGUCGAGCGAACGGACGAGAAGCUUGCUUCUCUGAUGUUAGCGGCGGACGGGUGAGUAACACGUGGAUAACCUACCUAUAAGACUGGGAUAACUUCGGGAAACCGGAGCUAAUACCGGAUAAUAUUUUGAACCGCAUGGUUCAAAAGUGAAAGACGGUCUUGCUGUCACUUAUAGAUGGAUCCGCGCUGCAUUAGCUAGUUGGUAAGGUAACGGCUUACCAAGGCAACGAUGCAUAGCCGACCUGAGAGGGUGAUCGGCCACACUAGAACUGAGACACGGUCCAGACUCCUACGGGAGGCAGCAGUAGGGAAUCUUCCGCAAUGGGCGAAAGCCUGACGGAACAACGCCGCGUGAGUGAUGAAGGUCUUCGGAUCGUAAAACUCUGUUAUUAGGGAAGAACAUAUGUGUAAGUAACUGUGCACAUCUUGACGGUACCUAAUCAGAAAGCCACGGCUAACUACGUG
Molecule: ribosomal RNA, 497 nt
Filed under: uncultured bacterium
Lineage: Bacteria
Description: partial 16S ribosomal RNA
Rfam family: Bacterial small subunit ribosomal RNA
Source: RNAcentral